AGUCUCCUGAAGGAACGUUGAAGACGACGACGUUGAUAGGCCGGGUGUGUAAGCGCAGCGAUGCGUUGAGCUAACCGGUACUAAUGAACCGUGAGGCUUAACCUUACAACGCUGAAG
This 117-nucleotide ribosomal RNA is filed under the name Salmonella enterica. RNAcentral's name for it is "partial 23S ribosomal RNA". The stretch from base 1 to 105 matches the Rfam family "Bacterial large subunit ribosomal RNA", at positions 2821 to 2925 of the family's 2925-position model. Lineage: Bacteria; Pseudomonadati; Pseudomonadota; Gammaproteobacteria; Enterobacterales; Enterobacteriaceae. The record is from RNAcentral.